This 371-nucleotide ribosomal RNA is filed under the name uncultured organism. Its description in RNAcentral is "bacterial SSU rRNA". It matches the Rfam family "Bacterial small subunit ribosomal RNA", at positions 526 to 895 of the family's 1533-position model. The record is from RNAcentral.
CGUAGGGUGCGAGCGUUAAUCGGAAUUACUGGGCGUAAAGCGUGCGCAGGCGGUUUAGUAAGACAGGCGUGAAAUCCCCGGGCUCAACCUGGGAACUGCGCUUGUGACUGCUAAGCUAGAGUACGGCAGAGGGGGGUGGAAUUCCACGUGUAGCAGUGAAAUGCGUAGAGAUGUGGAGGAACACCAAUGGCGAAGGCAGCCCCCUGGGUCGAUACUGACGCUCAUGCACGAAAGCGUGGGUAGCAAACAGGAUUAGAUACCCUGGUAGUCCACGCCCUAAACGAUGUCAACUAGGUGUUGGGAGGGUAAAACCUUUUAGUACCGGAGCUAACGCGUGAAGUUGACCGCCUGGGGAGUACGGCCGCAAGGUU